GGAAACUCACUCACAAGUUACUCAACCAUGAGGAAAAACUAAGUUACCUGCGAGUAAAUUACUCAUCACUCUCGGUGAGUGUGAGGGCCUUCCUCAUUUACUCACAAAGAGGGCUUUGAGCGCUCAUGAGGGCUAUUUUAGAAAACAAAUUUCGAGAUAUCAAACUCUACAUCGGUAAUUUUCUUAUUCAUUCAACAGCGAAAAAGUAGUCCUGUUGGUAGAGGCGCAGUGCUAUCAAUUACUGUUUGUUGUCAGCUUCCAGCUCUCCUACCGACGGAUUGGUCAAAGGUUGUUUAGACGGGGAAUGCCUCUGCGGAUUCAAAUGAAUUUCAUAUCGAUUUGCCCCAUUCGACAUUUCCUUUGAUUUUAAAGUGAAAAACACGGUAGAUUGAAAUGUUUUGGUUUUUGAAUGCGAGUGGCGAAAAACUCUUCAUUAGUAAGAUGGCCACGGACGAUACUGGUGGAAAAAUUGCUUUGCGGAGAUAAAUAUUCUUUUAGACAACUUCCUGAGAUUAUUUUUUAAUAAUUGUGCGCUUGUGGUAGGUAAAAUCAAAAGAAACAAUAGAGCUGUUUGAAAUUAAUGUUUAUAAUUUUUUCCAGAUGAUCAGGAUCCGGCCAGAGGUCGUCUUCGGAAUCUGCUCCUGAUCCUGAUCCGAAGCUGUGGUGCAAGUGGUGCCGGUGUUUCUUUAGAUUUAUCAUGAAAAACAGGGGCGGAAUACGGAUCCGCGAGCUGCCGGAUCGAGAAGAACAAAAUGAUUGUCUUGGUGCCAUUUUGCUCGGCCAGCUUCAACCCGUUCCUCAACGACCUGACCUUGGUGAUUCUCCGGUUCGGCAGGGCGUACUUCCCGGUAGAUCAACACAACGCCAGCCAGUGAAGUGAAGUGUGUGAUUUAUGUAAUUUACAUAAAAAAUAGAAAUAAAAGCUAUUUAUAAUUGAAA
Molecule: long non-coding RNA, 939 nt
Organism: Culex quinquefasciatus (southern house mosquito)
Lineage: Eukaryota; Metazoa; Arthropoda; Insecta; Diptera; Culicidae
Exons: 3
Source: RefSeq, a predicted model, not a curated record